GAAACCCGCACACCGAAAGACUAAGGUUUCCUCAGCUAUGCUAAUCAGCUGAGGGUUAGUCGGGUCCUAAGGCGAACCCGAAAGGGACAGUCGAUGGCCAACGGGUUAAUAUUCCCGUACUACUUAUAGUUGUGAUGGAGUGACGCAGUGAUGAAAGUACCGCGAACUGACGGAAUAGUUCGUUGAAGGCUGUAGCUAUAGAUUGGAUAGGCAAAUCCGUCCGAUCUGGCAAAGGCCGAUAGU
This 243-nucleotide ribosomal RNA is filed under the name Flavobacterium silvaticum. Its description in RNAcentral is "Bacterial large subunit ribosomal RNA". It matches the Rfam family "Bacterial large subunit ribosomal RNA", at positions 1325 to 1570 of the family's 2925-position model. The record is from Rfam by way of RNAcentral. Lineage: Bacteria; Pseudomonadati; Bacteroidota; Flavobacteriia; Flavobacteriales; Flavobacteriaceae.